GUGCAGGGGCUGCGGGAGUGGAAGCAGAGAGCGCCCACCUGGAACUUGCAGACCCUGCAAAUGAGGCCUUGAGCUGCAUGGAAAGACAGGAGGGGGGGCGCUGCAGUGCCGUGUGUGCGAGGUGGGGAACCCCUACGAGGGCUGCGUGUGGGGCCAGGGGACGUGCACGGCCCCCCCCGGGGGCGUCUGCUGGAGCCACAUCGCCGCCUUCGGCCCCCUCUUCUCGCUGUCCACCCUGGGCUGCGGCCCCCCCGGGGCCCCCCGUGACGCGGCCGGGCUCCUCGACCCCUUCUUCGGCUUCACCUACAACCGCACCUGGUGCAACGACACGGACCUCUGCAACGCGCCCCCCGCCCUGCCCGCCCGCUGGCCCUGGAGCCGCGCCCCCCCCCGCCCUCCCCGCCCCCCCCGCUGCCCUGCUGGGGGCCCUGGCGCUCUGGGCCCUGCACUGAGCCAGAGCCCCCCCACCCCGACUCCCCCAGCACCCUGCCUUCCCAGGCUCACCAGAGACCCGACAACAACAAACCGGCCCCCGAGAGACCCUACAAUAACAAAUCAGCCUCUGAAGCCCCCGAAUGACCCGACAACAACAAACCGGCCCCCGAGAGACCCUACAAUAACAAACCAGCCUCUGAAGCCCCGAAUGACCCGACAAAAACAAACUGGCCUCCAAGAGACCCUACAAUAACAAACGAGCCUCUGAAGCCCCGAAUGACCCGACAACAACAAACCGGCCCCGAGAGACCCUAUAAAAACAAACUAGCCUUUGAAGCCCCUGAAUGACCCUACAAAAACAAACCGUCCCCCGAGAGACCCUACAAUAACAAACCAGCCUCUGAAGCCCCUGAAUGACCCUACAAAAACAAACCGGCCUCCAAGAGACCCUACAAAAACAAACUAGACUUUGAAGCCCCUGAAUGACCCGACAAUAACAAACCGGACCCUGAGAGACCCUACAAUAACAAACAAGCCUUUGAAGCCCCUGAAUGACCCGACAAUAACAAACCGGCCUCCAAGAGACCCUACAAUAACAAAUGAGCCUUUGAAGCCCCUGAAUGACCCGACAAUAACAAACCGGCCUCCAAGAGACCCUACAAUAACAAACCAGCCUUUGAAGCCCCUGAAUGACCCUACAAAAACAAACCGGACCCUGAGAGACCCUGCCAUAACGCAUUGGCCCACUGGGUCUCCAACACCCCCAAGAGAGCCUACAAAGAAACCCUGGCCCCCGUGCAAGCCCAGCACUCAAGAAAGACCCUACGAUAACAAACCAACCUGUGAAGACCCAGAGAGGCCCUAGAACAACAAAACAGUCCACAGAGCCCCAGGGCUUACGAGGGACCCUACAAUAACGAACCAGGCCAGGCCUGUGCUCAAGGACUCUCCCAUAACAAGCUGGCCAGCGCUGACCCGUGCUCAGAAGACCCUACAAUAACAAACCGGCAUGUCGGACGGCCCCGAGAGACCCCCCAGUAACAAACCGGCUCUGCGGCCUUGGGAGGAGCCCGACCUAAGUAAACAAUUGAAUGAGCUGACGUGUCUGGUGCUUUGAAAGGCAAACGGAGCCUGGGGCUGGGUGCCAGGACUCCUGGGUUCUAUCCCCGGUUCUGUGAG
Chelonia mydas (Green sea turtle) is the source of this 1614-nucleotide long non-coding RNA. RefSeq lists it as uncharacterized. The transcript has 3 exons. The record is from RefSeq and is a predicted model, not a curated record. Lineage: Eukaryota; Metazoa; Chordata; Testudines; Cheloniidae.